This 327-nucleotide ribosomal RNA is filed under the name bacterium enrichment culture clone ALO1_GLFRUDD03GVROM. RNAcentral's name for it is "bacterial SSU rRNA". It matches the Rfam family "Bacterial small subunit ribosomal RNA", at positions 9 to 334 of the family's 1533-position model. The record is from RNAcentral.
GAGUUUGAUCGUGGCUCAGAUUGAACGCUGGCGGCAUAGCCUUACACAUGCAAGUCGAACGGCAGCACGGGAGCUUGCUCCUGGUGGCGAGUGGCGAACGGGUGAGUAAUGCCUAGGGAAUCUGCCUGGUAGUGGGGGACAACGUUUCGAAAGGAACGCUAAUACCGCAUACGUCCUACGGGAGAAAGCAGGGGACCUUCGGGCCUUGCGCUAUCAGAUGAGCCUAGGUCGGAUUAGCUAGUUGGUGGGGUAAUGGCUCACCAAGGCGACGAUCCGUAACUGGUCUGAGAGGAUGAUCAGUCACACUGGAACUGAGACACGGUCCAG